Molecule: ribosomal RNA, 433 nt
Filed under: uncultured bacterium
Lineage: Bacteria
Description: partial 16S ribosomal RNA
Rfam family: Bacterial small subunit ribosomal RNA
Source: RNAcentral
AACGAACGCUGGCGGCAUGCCUAACACAUGCAAGUCGAACGAAAACUUCGGGUCUUUUCGCGCACGACUGCGUAACGCGUGGGAACCUGCCCUUAGGUUCGGAAUAACUCCCCGAAAGGGGUGCUAAUACCGGAUAAUGUCUUCUGACCAAAGAUAUAUCGCCCUUGGAUGGGCCCUCGUUGGAUUAGCUUGUUGGUAGGGUAAUAGCCUACCAAGGCGACGAUUCAUAGCUGGUCUGUGAGGAUGAUCAGCCACACUAGGACUGAGACACGGCCCAGAAUCCUACGGAAGGGAGGAGUGGGGAAUAUUGGACAAUGGGGGAAGGGCUGAUGCAGCAAUGCCGCGUGAGUGAUGAAGGCAGUAGGGUUGUAAAGCUCUUUUAACCGGGAUGAUAAUGACAGUACCGGGAGAAUAAGCCCCGGCUAACUACGUG